CUGCUGCCUCCCGUAGGAGUUUGGACCGUGUCUCAGUUCCAAUGUGGGGGACCUUCCUCUCAGAACCCCUAUCCAUCGUCGUCUUGGUGGGCCGUUACCCCGCCAACUAACUAAUGGAACGCAUCCCCAUCGAUAACCGAAAUUCUUUAAUAUCAAGAUCAUGCGAUCUUGAUAUGCUAUCGGAUAUUAAUCUUUCUUUCGAAAGGCUAUCCCCGAGUUAUCGGCAGGUUGGAUACGUGUUACUCACCCGUGCGCCGGUCG
This 261-nucleotide ribosomal RNA is filed under the name uncultured bacterium. RNAcentral describes it as "partial 16S ribosomal RNA". The record is from RNAcentral.